CUGGCUCAGGAUGAACGCUGGCGGCGUGCCUAACACAUGCAAGUCGAACGGGGUGUCUGAUCUUCGGACUGGACACUUAGUGGCGGACGGGUGAGUAACGCGUGGGUAACCUGCCUCAUACAGGGGGAUAGCAGUUGGAAACGACUGAUAAUACCGCAUAAGCGCACAGUACCGCAUGGUACAGUGUGAAAAACUCCGGUGGUAUGAGAUGGACCCGCGUCUGAUUAGCUUGUUGGCGGGGUAACGGCCCACCAAGGUGACGAUCAGUAGCCGGCCUGAGAGGGUGAACGGCCACAUUGGGACUGAGACACGGCCCAAACUCCUACGGGAGGCAGCAGUGGGGAAUAUUGCACAAUGGGGGAAACCCUGAUGCAGCGACGCCGCGUGAAGGAUGAAGUAUUUCGGUAUGUAAACUUCUAUCAGCAGGGAAGAUGAUGACGGUACCUGACUAAGAAGCCCCGGCUAACUACGUGCCAGCAGCCGC
Molecule: ribosomal RNA, 484 nt
Filed under: uncultured bacterium
Lineage: Bacteria
Description: bacterial SSU rRNA
Rfam family: Bacterial small subunit ribosomal RNA
Source: RNAcentral